ACUGGGCGUAAGCGUGCGCAGGCGGUUAUGUAAGACAGAUGUGAAAUCCCCGGGCUCAACCUGGGAACUGCAUUUGAGACUGCAUGGCUAGAGUACGGUAGAGGGGGAUGGAAUUCCGCGUGUAGCAGUGAAAUGCGUAGAUAUGCGGAGGAACACCGAUGGCGAAGGCAACCCCCUGGACCGGUACUGACGCUCAUGCACGAAAGCGUGGGGAGCAAACAGGAUUAGAUACCCUGGUAGUCCACGCCCUAAACGAUGUCAACUAGCUGUUGGGAAUUUUGUUUCUCAGUAGCGCACCUCACGCGUGAAGUUGACCGCCCGGGGAGAACCGGCCCCAGGGUU
Molecule: ribosomal RNA, 342 nt
Filed under: uncultured bacterium
Lineage: Bacteria
Description: bacterial SSU rRNA
Rfam family: Bacterial small subunit ribosomal RNA
Source: RNAcentral